Molecule: transfer RNA, 27 nt
Filed under: Poa pratensis subsp. alpigena
Lineage: Eukaryota; Viridiplantae; Streptophyta; Magnoliopsida; Poales; Poaceae
Description: partial tRNA-Thr
Source: RNAcentral
AUGCUCUACCCUCUGAGCUAAGUGGGC